Molecule: ribosomal RNA, 460 nt
Filed under: uncultured bacterium
Lineage: Bacteria
Description: bacterial SSU rRNA
Rfam family: Bacterial small subunit ribosomal RNA
Source: RNAcentral
CCUACGGGUGGCAGCAGUGAGGAAUAUUGGUCAAUGGACGCAAGUCUGAACCAGCCAUGCCGCGUGAAGGAUGAAGGCCUUCUGGGUUGUAAACUUCUUUUACCUGGGAAGAAACCUCAAUUUUCUAAUUGAGUUGACGGUACCAGAGGAAUAAGCACCGGCUAACUCCGUGCCAGCAGCCGCGGUAAUACGGAGGGUGCAAGCGUUAUCCGGAUUUACUGGGUUUAAAGGGUGUGUAGGCGGGCUUUUAAGUCAGUGGUGAAAUCUCCGGGCUCAACCUGGAAACUGCCAUUGAUACUAUUAGUCUUGAAUUUUGUUGAGGUAGGCGGAAUAAGUCAUGUAGCGGUGAAAUGCUUAGAUAUGACUUAGAACACCAAUUGCGAAGGCAGCUUGCUAAACAAACAUUGACGCUGAGGCACGAAAGCGUGGGGAUCAAACAGGAUUAGAUACCCUUGUAGUC